RNAcentral lists this transfer RNA (62 nucleotides) under Proteocephalus macrocephalus. Its description in RNAcentral is "tRNA-Cys". Lineage: Eukaryota; Metazoa; Platyhelminthes; Cestoda; Proteocephalidea; Proteocephalidae. The record is from RNAcentral.
GAGUAUGCAGCCUUGUGGUCUUAGUUUUGCAAAAGCUAAUGAGAGCUUUAGCUCCAUACUUU